GCCGGAUUAGCUUUAACGGUAUAGCGGUCGACUUGUAAUCGACAGGUUGUCAGUUCGAAUCUGACAUCCGGCU
Molecule: transfer RNA, 73 nt
Filed under: Ophirina amphinema
Lineage: Eukaryota; Jakobea; Jakobida; Ophirinidae
Description: tRNA-Thr
Rfam family: tRNA
About the family: Transfer RNA (tRNA) molecules are approximately 80 nucleotides in length.
Source: RNAcentral